This 253-nucleotide ribosomal RNA is filed under the name uncultured bacterium. RNAcentral's name for it is "partial 16S ribosomal RNA". It matches the Rfam family "Bacterial small subunit ribosomal RNA", at positions 524 to 776 of the family's 1533-position model. The record is from RNAcentral.
UACGUAGGGAGCUAGCGUUGUUCGGAAUUACUGGGCGUAAAGCGCACGUAGGCGGCUUUGUAAGUUAGAGGUGAAAGCCCGGGGCUCAACUCCGGAACUGCCUUUAAGACUGCAUCGCUUGAAUCCGGGAGAGGUGAGUGGAAUUCCGAGUGUAGAGGUGAAAUUCGUAGAUAUUCGGAAGAACACCAGUGGCGAAGGCGGCUCACUGGACCGGUAUUGACGCUGAGGUGCGAAAGCGUGGGGAGCAAACAGG